CUUCUUACUUGAUGGUAAGAGACAGAUUUUUGUUUAAUACUGUCAGGUAAGAAUAC
RNAcentral lists this microRNA precursor (56 nucleotides) under Schmidtea mediterranea. Lineage: Eukaryota; Metazoa; Platyhelminthes; Tricladida; Dugesiidae. The record is from RNAcentral.